Non-coding RNA from Elaeis guineensis (African oil palm), 3370 nucleotides. The record is from RefSeq and is a predicted model, not a curated record. NCBI's taxonomy places the organism in Eukaryota, Viridiplantae, Streptophyta, Magnoliopsida, Arecales, Arecaceae.
CUGGGCCUAGACGCAUUACACGGAAGGAAUCGGUCAACAGAGCGCGGUCGGGAAGGCUGAGUGAAACCCGAUUGGGUCGUCUUCCUCCGUCUCUCCCGAUUUCAAGCGGAGCAAAAUUCUCCCAUCACUGCUCGCCGGCCGACCUAAUUCUUCAUUUGGCCGGCCACGAAGGGGAAGAAGGAAAAGAGAUGUGAAAUCGAGAUCUAUCGUUAGAGCAAGCGAAAAAUUUUGGCGGUGUCUUUCUUCCAUUUGUUUGAUGCUUCUUCUCGCCCACGGUUGUUCGAUCUUUAACAGGAAUAAAGUAUCCUCCAUCCGGAAGUCUAAGGGAGAGAAAUUGCUUCGAGAUCGGGAAGAUGAUAACGCGCUCGAAUCUCGCGGAUCAGCUGCGGGAGUACCAGAUUCGUUCCAAGUACGAAUGGGCUACCGUCUCCUUCCUCUCCGCCUCCUCCUCCUCUUCCAAUACCUCUUCAAGUAAGGAGUGGAUUGAAGCAUGAUGCCGAUAUGGGCAAAGACCAAACACCACUAAUUCCUUGCUGGAUUCUAUGGAUCUUUGGGCUUGAGUAAUGUAUGUCAUUGUUUUUGUGACUGAUGUCAUCACGGACUUACCUAGCAGAUAUUAGGCAUCUAUGAAGAAGAAAAAAGGUAUAUGUAGAAUUUCUUUUGAAGUAAUAAAUCCUAUUUAUUUUCCGCAACUGACAGAGGGAAGGUUUGAUCAUGACAGAGAUGUUAUAUCUCUAGUCAUGCAAAGGUUGUUGGUCAACAGUUGAUAUGCACAAACAAUAGAUCGUGAUCUAUGUAUUGUUUUUUUUGCAGUAUGAGGAUAGCAGACCUUGCCUUUGGGCAUGAUUUUGUGCACAGCCUCAUGCUAGGUGCCACUUAUGCGUUAACAUAUAUUAUGCUAGGGUUCCAUAAUUUCUCCACGAGCAACAUAGAAGUAUUUCUUAGAAAAUUUUCGAUUCGCUGGUUUUCCCUGAAGCAAAGUCUACUUUGCUUAAGGUGCUACCAAUGCCUACUUGUAGUCUUGUCCUAGAUAAGGUUAAAUAGCAUAAUGGUGGUUGCUUCUGGUGGGCUGCCACCUAUAGCACUUGUUUUUGGGUGGAUCAGUUAGGAAGUGGUCAAUAGUUAUCUAUUUUGCAAUGGGAAGCCCAUCUGCUACUGUUGAUGCUGCUAUUUUUUUUGGGGUGCCUACACCGAACAAACAGUUUUCACUUAUUUUGCAUCUACUGUCAUCAAAUGGCAUAACAGACCUAGUAUUUGUCGAUUUGGGCUAACUCAAAGUUCAGUACCAAGCUAGGAUCAGUUGGCCCAAGUUUGCCCUAGCCCAACUUUGAGGUUGAAAUCCCAAACACAAGCUUGGCUAAUUACAAAAUAUGCAAACCUGGCUUAAUAGCCCGACUAUCUAUUCUGAUCUUAGAAGGCUAUCGAGGGAGGAGAUGGAGUAGGGUUCCAACAUGAGACAGGCUUAGGCUAGGGAGAAGUCUGAGAUGAGUGCUAGAGGGAGUAUGUUAGGACUUGUCCAUGGAAAGAGAUGAGAUUGAAGCAAGACACAGAACUAGAAAAGGGAGUGAGGGUCUUGGCAUAGAUUAUGCCUUGGUCAGGAGAGAGUCAAGAUUGGUAUGAGAGAUAGAACGCAUGGGAAGGUUGUUCCAUCAUAGCUCAGACCCUGAUCAAAUAUAGGUGUUAAAGCAUGGUGGUCAAAGGGUUAUUGAAAAGAAUGUAACAAGGGAAGCUUGUCAGUUGCAAUUGAAGAGGACAAGUGGAGAUGGGGCCAACUUCUCUUUACCUUUUAUUCAAGUUUUAUAUUUAAAAAUAAGAUGUAUUGUAGAUUUAAAUUUUACACUUAUCUUAUAAUGUAUUCCAUAACAAUUAUAUCAUAUCAUAUAUCUUGUCAUAUAGUUUUAACAUAAAAGCCAUAUAUGUUGUGCCAGGAUAGAAAUUUAUCAAACCCAAGCUUGGCCUGGAUCCUGUUCGAACCUGAAACUCUAGGCUUAGCCUAAUUUUUCUAGCCCAAAUUCUCUUUGUAGGCUUGCCAAAAACUAGGCUGGGCUAGAUUUUUCUAGGUCUAGGUGUGGGACAACUACAAUGAUGCCUUCCUUUGUUCCAUGGAAUGGAGGGCGUGGGAGACUUGCGUGGCUUUAAUGCUAUGUGGAACUAGAUGUAUGUUAUCAUCUUGGAGAAGGGUGGUAGGUUAUGACACUACGACCGUUGCUCAAACCUAUUUGGAUUGGUAUGGGACCUACACAAUCCAUAUCUUCAUCGCAAAGCUCCUUAAGGUGAUAAAGGGGGUGGUGAAAGACAUAACGUUCUAUGGAUCUACAGGGAAAGGUACAGACAGCGCAAACAUGGCAUACAACAUGGAGAAGCACUUUAAAUUGCUGAAGAAUGCCAAAAGGAUUAUAUCAAUUGUAGUCUCUGAAGAAUUGUAUGCUUGCAAAAUGUCUAUUCCUAAGAUAACCGCCAGGCACAACAUGAAGGCCAAAGAUGUAACCUCGGUUGCUUAUAUUAAAGGUGAUCGGAGAAUGUGGUCUACUGUUGUUUGUUGUGAUGCAUAGAUUCUAGGAUGCAUUUUUUAGAUAAUUCCAAGCUCUAAAGGGAGCACAAAGGGAUUCUUAUCAGAACCCAUGUCUGCCUAUGGCAUCACCAUCUCAUAAAUAAGCAUUGAUAUAUUUAAAAGGGCAGUAGUUGUUAAUUUGAUGUAUAGACACUAUCACAAGCCUUUGCUCCAAUGCUUCCUAAAUGUGAGAUUGCAGAUUGUUGAUUAAUAUGGAUAGUCGUGCACUAGAACUUUUGAUGGUUGCCCAUUUAGGAGCUCCAGUCCAUCUAGCAGAGAAUUAUGAUGGAUUCAAUGCCCUUGUGGUGGCUAAGGUAGGAUAUCAUUCUGUUAUUUGAUCAUAAUUCUACCAUUUUUUUUUUUGCCUAAUCUUGGUAAAACUUCCACUUAAAUAUAAAGCAAAGAGUUUUGCCAUGAGUUUGCAAAAUUCGUAUUUACCAAGUCAAAAAUGCCAACUAUCUCUAACAGUUUGCACUCUUCUCCAACUCAUAACUUGUUUUUUCACCUUUUCUUGUUAUGUACCAUCAUCAACACUGCAUUUUUGUCGAUAUCAACAUCAUGUCAGCCAUUCCUUGAAUAUUUUGCUGACUUAUGUUUUUAUAUUUCUUUCCUUUUUUCUGAGAAAACUGAUUGAUCAAGCUUAUGUGUCAGUGAAAUUAAAAUAAAUUACUGAUUAGUCUUUUUUUUUUUGGUAGACUUGCAUCAUGCAAGUUAAUCAGAGACAUAAAAUGCUAUAAAGUUCUGCAGCUAUUUAUAGAAUUUUACCAACCCUUUUAGGCAUAUCAGAGUUCUGAUUCCAUGGAUGUUCCUAUCUUUUGA